AUGCUUUUCAGUUUACAAAGCAAACCUUCCUCAAAACAACCUGUGUAAAGUAGUAAAAAUGCAACUAAUCCCCUCUGACUGUUGAAACUGAAGCUAAAGUGAGUGAUUUGCCCACAUUCACAAGGCUAACAAACAGCAGAUCUGGGGCUGGAACCCCAAGCCAGGUCUUCUGGCUUGAAGCUAGCACUCUUUCCAUUACACCAACUGCCCCAGUUGAUGUUCAGUUUGUUUUAACAUCCAUUUGUAUGCCCUAUUAAAGCCCUUGAAAUAAACGAAUUUAUACACUAAGAUCCAGAUUUGGGUAGCUCAGUGGUGCAGUGGAUAGAGUGCCAGGAAAGUCAGGAAGACACUUUCCUGAAUUCAAAUCUGGUCUCAGACACUUUCUAGCUAUGUGACCCUGGGCAAGUCACUUAAUCCUGUUUGCCUCAGUUUCCUCAUCUGUAAAAUGAGCUGGAAGAGGAAAUGGCAAACUACUCCAGUAUCUCUGCCAAAUGAGAUCACAGAGUAUCAGACAGGACUAAAAUGACUGAACAACAACAAAAGAUCCUGAUUGUGGGUGGAUCUUAAUCCCAAUAUUUUAAAUGAGUAUUUAUUGGGCUGUACUUUGCCAUCUAUUCAAUUUUAGCACAGGGGCAAUUACUGUUCCUACUUCCCCAGAAAUAAAAUAAUUGCAGCUUGAAUUGAUAUGGUAUUUAAUAUUGAGGAAAUUAAGGCUCUGGGUGGUGAUGUGGUUAGAGUUAGAAUACGAACCCAGACCCUCUGACUCAUCGAGCUAAAAGAGAAGGACCUGGAAACAGAAUCAUAAAAUUUGGUUGAGCAGCUGUGGGGAUGGCUUGUCUUGGCACAUCAUGUAUUGAAGACAUUGCUUUUGGACCUAGUCAGGGGGUCUCCGUGGUACAGUCAGGCUCUGGUCUGACUUGUUCCUUUUUUAAUAGAUAUGGCCCUAAAGAAGUAAUCGCUGUCUUGGGUCACCCUGGAAUUGUCAUAAGGAGUUUCCCAAAAGGGCCAGUCCUACAUAGAAAGUAGUUCCUUACUGGACAAGAAAAUUGCCAUUACAAGGUGGUCACUGAUGAAACUGAAAAAACUAACGGUAAGACUUUAAUCAUGCAACAACUAUAGUUGCACUGCCAGAUACCCUGAACUCCCAGGACACUCCUGGCAUCCUUGGAAUUGGCCCAGGUGUCCAAAGAGCUCCCAAAGGAACCAACGCUACAGUUCCCAAGACCAAGGGAAUGUUGAAUGUCUGAAGAUUCCCUCAGGAGCACUGUCACUCACUGCUUCUUUCGGGAAUGCUUUGUGGAUCUGGAGCUGGUGUGGCAAGAUGAGGACUGCCUUGGACAGCAGCAGACUUUCCUAAGCUGUCUGUCCUUUAUCAUGACUCCAAAAACCUGCUGUGGUAUUGGGAUAGGUUUUGUUCAUAUAUAAGAAAUCAUUUCUUCUGGCCAGCCCUAGCCACGGAACCUCACCAUCUUCUUCCUGUGCCAGCACAAACAUUCUUCUCCUGCCCUCCAUUCUCCUUUGCACCCCUUGUUCUAUGAACAUUGAUCGAAUGGAUAUUACCAUUGUAGUAAAGGGAAGGGAAUGUGUAUUUAUAUAGCACUUAACAUGUGCCAGCCAGGCACUGUGCAAGGCUCUUUUUACAAAGAUUAUCUCCAGGGCUUAGAGAAAAGACACAUCAUUCAAUCUGGCCUGUGACUCCAUUCGGAAUCCAAAUGGUUUCACCCUUCCUUGCCCAUAGUUCUCCUAUAUGUGUUGUCUUCUUCUGUUAGAGAGCAAGAUUUUAUUUUAUUUAUUUUUUAAAUCCGUACUUUCCAUUUUGGAAUCAAUACUGUGUAUUGGUUCUAAGGCAGAAGAGUGGUAAGGGCUAGGCAAUGGGGGUCAAGUGACUUGCCCAGGGUCACACAGCUGAGAAGUAUCUGAGGUUACAUUUGAACCCAGAACCUCCCAUAUCUGGGCCUGGCUCUCAAUCCACUGAGCCACUCAGCUGCCCCCUGAGAGCAAGAUUUUAAAGGGCAGAGCAAUCACUCUCUGUAUUGGGAUCUCUAGCACUUAGCCCUGUGCUUUGAACAUUCAUACUUUUUCAUUCAUUUGUUAUAAUGAAACAGAUUCUAAUUCUAUUUGAGGAUGAACUUCCAAAUUAUUAUGAAAAUACAGAAAUGGAUUUUGGCCAGCUUUGUGAGCUCCCCAUCUUUAGAGACAUUCCAGAAAAGACUAAAUUAUGAUGUUGCGGAGGUAUUGUAUAAGUGCUUUGUGUAUGAGAUAGGAGGUUGAAAUGGUAGCUUCUUCCAGAUGCCCUCCAACUCUGAGACUCAAUGAUUCUAUAAUCUCUUUUAUUUAUCUAAGCCUAUAGAUAAAUAGGAAAUGCUAAAAAUAAAAAAGGUGUGAGCCUCCA
Long non-coding RNA from Monodelphis domestica (gray short-tailed opossum), 2392 nucleotides. Lineage: Eukaryota; Metazoa; Chordata; Mammalia; Didelphimorphia; Didelphidae. The record is from Ensembl.